UACGAAGGGGACUAGCGUUGUUCGGAUUUACUGGGCGUAAAGCGCGCGUAGGCGGAUCGCUAAGUCAGGGGUGAAAUCCCAGGGCUCAACCCUGGAACUGCCUUUGAUACUGACGAUCUGGAGAUCGGGAGAGGUUGGUGGAAUUCCGAGUGUAGAGGUGAAAUUCGUAGAUAUUCGGAGGAACACCAGAAGCGAAGGCGGCCAACUGGCCCGAUACUGACGCUGAGGCGCGAGAGCGUGGGGAGCGAACCGG
This 253-nucleotide ribosomal RNA is filed under the name uncultured bacterium. RNAcentral describes it as "partial 16S ribosomal RNA". It matches the Rfam family "Bacterial small subunit ribosomal RNA", at positions 524 to 776 of the family's 1533-position model. The record is from RNAcentral.